Long non-coding RNA from Brassica napus (rape), 7029 nucleotides. RefSeq lists it as uncharacterized. The transcript is spliced from 3 exons. NCBI's taxonomy places the organism in Eukaryota, Viridiplantae, Streptophyta, Magnoliopsida, Brassicales, Brassicaceae. The record is from RefSeq and is a predicted model, not a curated record.
CCUAGCACUCUAGACAAGGAAUCACUUUUUGCUCACUUCUAAGUAUGUCCACUUCAGCACUAUGUGGGUCUCGCUUAUAAUCUAAACAUUACGAUAAGCGGAAUUUGUAUCGUCAACUUAACUAAUAUUUAUUAACUUUCUUUCUCUCACCGCUGUUGAUCAUCCCCUCUCUGUCCUCGACCCGCUUUUCUCAUAGGGCCAUAGACGCACACUGCGACACUGGGCCGUAGUCUAAACUUCACCCGCCUCCGUCUCCAUGGACGGAUCGAAGGAAACGUCAACGAGCUCUGUGCUCAACUCGAGAAAUCUAGGCCUAUAAAAGUUGAAUCUGGAAAUUCAACAAGAAGAAUAGAAGAUCUGAUUACGAUUCGCCCCAUGCUGCUCCUGUACGAAGAAGGUACAUUGAUAUGAACGAUGAUACUGACGGAGGAGAAGACCGGAUUGGGGUGUUCAGGAGAAAGCUAUCUGAUGAUUUUGAUAGAAUCGUUGGAGAGAUGACAACCAAAGCCAAUAAGAAAUCAAUUAAAUCUGGUUUACUGCUAACAUCUAAUUUUUGAACGUUUUGUUUACGAACAUAGAAAGUGAACAGGAACACAAGAUUUGGGAUCAGUGGAGAAUCUUCAGAUCUUUGUAAGCUAUUAUUGAAUGGUGGGGUUUCUGUGUAUAUCGUAAUGACCAAAUAAAUAUUUUACGUAAUAUAAAAGUAAACUAUUCCUAGGAUCAGUGUUGUUUUCUGCCGAGUAGUAAACCUGAAGAUAACUAUUCCUACUCAUUUUUUCAUGUAUUUCAUAGCUGAAGCGAGAGUAGAGAUGAGCAGCUGAUUAUAAAAAGGUUAUUGCUUGCAGGAAAGAUGUGCUGCAUGCAGUGGACAUUGUUUCUCUUGUGGCUCGAAUACUGCAUAAAUCAAAGGCUCAUCUUCAAUCCAUGCUUAUGUCAAGAAAUGGCUCUUUCGUUGAAGACUUCUUUGGUCAACUGGUUGGUUCCGUACCUGAUCUGACAGAGCACUUACACAUGACAACUGCGAGGAUCCUGCGGCAUGUUAAUGGGUAAAUUGCCAAUCUACUUAAGAAAGUUAUUAGAUGUCUGUGACAAAAAAAAGUUAUUAGAUGGAUUCAAUCUCUAUCCUCCCUUUUGUGCCUUUUAUUCUUAUUCUUACUGGCCUCUGAAGUUAAAAAAAAACUGUUAUAUAACUUUUUAACUCAAUCGGUAUGUUAAAGUCAAGCCUUGGUUUUGUAUGAUAUAUGUUCUCAUUGGAGUAUGUCGACCGGAUUGCUAACUCUAAAUGGGAAGUCAAAGAGCUUGGAGUGGAGCAUAAUGAGUUUGUUACUUCCUUCUGUUACUCCAUUUACUCUUCCAAAUUUGUACCUGCAACUUUAAUUAAAUAGUGAAAUACUCAACUAUAUUUGAUGUUCAUAGUCUUACAAAAGUAUUAUUUUAGAGUUCCCGUGUAGUAUAAAAUUAUCAUUGGAGCCUACUUAUUAUCUGAGUUAAGAUUUAGAUAUUCAGCACACGGUAUUGAUGCUCUUAAAACAGAUUCUGAUCAUUCAUGGCUUCACUGCCAUCUUAUAUGUACUAAACUAUUUGAACAAACAAGUAUGUUGAUUUGAUCCUUGGGGAAUUCAAACACUACAAACACAAGGCUUGCUCACGGAGGCAUUCCACAGGAGGUAAAUGUCUCUCUGGCCUCAUCAUUAAUUCUAGGAGUUGAUUACAUUUUCUUCUCAAACUCUUAACUCUUUUUCGUAUAUAGGUUCAAAACCUCCUGCUGGAAUAUGGAAUUGAAAUAUUCGCGGAGACGCUGGUGGAAGGUCUAUCUAGAAUAAAAAUAUGCACCGAUGAAGGACGAGCUCUCAUGUCUUUAGAUAUUCAGGUACUUUUCCUCUUUGUUUGCUUUGUUAUCCAGUGUAGUUUCUUCUACACGACAUCAAGAAUGGACACGAAAGAAUGAAAGUAUCAGUUAACAUUGACAGACAUUCUGAUAUAUAAAAUAUUAAAUACACAGCGCAUCUAGAAAGGUGGUCAUGAUAGGAAAAACCUUUACUCUUUGUUGAUUAGAUAAAAGUAAAACACAAACAAUUGAUAAAUUGCAUGACAUGUCAUUUAAACAUGCGUCUGCGUUAUAGCUAUAUUGUGCAUAUGAAUGACUUUGGUUGACAAUAUCUAUCGUUUUGUAGGUUCUAAUAAACGGGCUACAACACUUUCUUCAACAAAUGUGAAACCCAAGUUACAGAUAGUGGAUACAUUUAUCAAGGUGAGCAAAACACUGACUUAUAUGGAACUGCAGACUAAUGUGCUGGUGAGACACAUUUAAAACGGAAAUCAUCACUCACCUUUUGCAGGCAUACUAUCCACCAGGGAUGGGGUAUGUCCACUGGGCAAGGGCUCAUCCGGUAAGCAAACAAAACUUCCUUUCCCUUUUAAUAGAUAGAAUAUUUGAUAAAAAUGUGUAAACAAUGAUAAAUAUACAGGAAUAUACAAAAGGACAGGUCGUAGGACUUGUGACUUUAGUAGCCACCAUGAAAGGCUGGAAGAGGAAAACGCGGCUAGAACUUGUGGAUAAGAUUGAAGCAGCUGCUGCGUAGAGAUCAAUCUAGAAGCAAGCUUCUUGAACUUCCAGCAACAGCGAGUAAUAUUUACAUGUAUUGAGAGCUGUAAAUUGGAGGAAAGACCUUCUUGAUUACUGUCGUUGCUUAUGGGUUUGUGUUAAAAAUCCUCCUAAAGUUGUACAGUCCUUAAGAGACUGUAACUCACAUUCCACCCCCUCCCUGUGUAACCGAUUAUGUAGUGCAAAACUAUUUUAGCCAUUAACAAGUGGUACGGUACAAUUUUAUGAUUAUGAACACUACCAUUUUCAGUUUUUUUUUCCUUAUUUUUGUUAUCUUAUCGACUAUUUCUAUAAUAUUAUCUAAAAAGUAAAAUGUACAUGUUAAUUAUUACACAUGGGUCAAAUCAAUAAAAUAAAAGUAUUUUAAUCAAAUAUUAUUAUUUUUCACAUGUUCUAACUAAUCAUAUUUAUUCUAAUUUUUUAAUGAAAAAAUAUUUCAAAAAUAAAAAUAUCUCAAAAUAUCUAAGGAAGGUAAUCACAAUAUUUUUUAGCAAACUAAUUAUAUAUGUAAUAUUAGGUCAUUAAAAUUAAUUUAAUAAUUAAUUUUAUUUAUAAAUAUUAAUAAUUAUAGAUGAUAUAUAAUUUCUUAUUAUAGAGUUGUUAUUUUCUUUUCAAAUAACUGAAAUUCGUAAUGAGUGAUAUUUAAUAAAUAAAUUAUUAAAUUAUUUUGUAGUUGAUAACUCUAAUUUUUACUUUUAAUCAGUUUUUAUUUUUCAAAUAAUAUGAAUGAUAGUGAAGAAUGAAACUAAAAUGGUUUUACUUAGAAUGUAUUUUUUUUUCUUUGAACCAUCUUAUACUAAGCUAAAUGUUUUCUUCAAGCUUUAGAAUCCCUUGGUUAACUCAAUCACCUCAACAUUUAGCAUCACUAUUGCUUCAACAAACUUACAUUCAUUGGUGUUCAUAGUCAUUUUUUUGGACAAGUGAUUUAGACAGUACCUAAAUACAUAUGACAAAAUUAGUACAUAAAAAUGAUUGAAUGAGCACAAAUUAAAUGAUAUAACGAUUAAAUUACUCCAAACAUUAAAUCAUUAUCCUUUUAUCUAAACCCUAACCUCUUUCUUCCUCACUUUCAUUCUACGCUAAACCAUUUCCUCCUUAUUCACAAACCUCAAGAACGUUUACCUUCGCUCCGGUCUAAAUAAUGGUGUCCACAAACGCGCUCUCUUCCGCCUCCGUCCUCUGCUCCUCACGACAGGGAAAGCUGAGUGGUGGAAACCAACAUAAAGGUCAAAGAGUAAGCUACAGGAAAGCAAGUAGAGGUUUCAGUGUUAGAGCAAGUAUAAAGGAGAUCUCUUCAAGCUGGUAUUGAUAAGUUUGCUGAUGAUGUUGGUCUCACUCUUGGCCCUAGAGGUAUUCGAUCCAAUCUCAAUGUCCGUUGUACCAAGUUGUGUCUCUCUUUUGUCUUAACUUUGUGGUUUUUUACAAGAGAGAAAUGUUGUGUUGGAUAAAUUUGGAAGCCCCAAGGUUGUGAAUGAUGGAGUAAACAACAUACACAUUUUUGGCCGACCUAUUUCAGACUUUUUUGGCCCACCACAAUUUAUUUUUAACAAAAUGCAGGAAAAACUAUAAAAAUCAAUAAUUUUGUAACUAUAUAAUUUCUAGAGUUAUAAUUUUUUUGUAGAAACAGUUUAUUGCAAGUCUAUAUUUUUGAAAUUAAUUUUGGGUAGAAUAAAAAAUAAUUAAAUAUUUUGUUGUAUAAAUUGUUAAAUUCGAAUUUUAUAUAUUUGCCUUACUAUUUGAUUUAAAUACUAACAACUACCUAAGUAAACACUAACCAAUACUAUAAACCUCAGCAGCUUUUGAACAUGAAAGCGCUAAUAACGCUAAUGGUCGAUCAAAUCAUUACAAAAAUAAGAUAUGAAAAUAUCAAUACAUAUGACUUCGCCGGUCAUUCUUUGAUCAACCUAAUCAAGUUAUGUGACUUCCAAUGUUCCAUUCAUCACUAUUAUAGAUAACACAAAAAAGAAAGUUAAAAAGACAAAAUCACCAUAUACAAAAUUACACAACGCAUCAAUAAUGUAUCCGGUAGGCUUGCGCGGAGGCUAUGCCCCUAGUUAUUAAUUUAGUUGCAAGGAAAAUAGACAAGAUCUUUGGCAACUGUCUUUUUGGCUUGGUUCACUACAUGUGAUACACAAUCAACACCAUUAUGUUAUAUAAAAAACAUAUAAAUAUGGGGUUGAAACGUCACCUAAUGCUAAUAGAAGGAGGGUUUUCGGUGCAAGGAAGAAAUUGUUUUAGAAAAUGCCAAAUAACAUAUUGAAAUAUGGCCGAUCACAAAAUAUUAGAGAAUAAUAAUGUUCAAACAGUUUUUUUAUAUGACAUGUCUAUGAAACUUGAAUUUCUUAAACCGAAUUCGCACCAAGCACUUUAUACGACAUGUCUAUGAAAAUUGAUUUUUUUUCAAAGCAUUUACCACACUUAUCGCAGGGAAAACAGACCAACCAAGAUCACUAUUCGAAGCCAAAUGCAUGCGUGUUAAAUUGCUAAUAUGAAAAUGGUAAAUUGGACAGGACGGUAAUGGACAAUUCGUAUAAAGUGAAAACCCCUGUUCAAAAUCCACUAAAAGCUUGGACUGUACUUAGUAAAAAUGUGAUUUGAUGGUUUGGCGUUUGACCGUUGGUCCAUUUCUGACGAGAAAAUAUUAUACUCUAAAACAGCUUCAAGUUUUUAAUAACGCAGUUAUGACUACUGAAAUAGUUUUUGUUAACUAAAGUCAUUGGCCUAACUAAAAUGGCCUUAUAAUUUUUGUAAAUUAGUCAAUUUUCUUUUUCUCUCGGGACCAAAUGUUUGAAACCUAAAUACAAAUUAAAAAAAUCAAAAUUAUUAAAACUUUUUUUUUCACUUUGGCUUGUAUUUUUUUCCGCCGCCACAACUCUUUUUUUUCUACCGCAUCUCUUCUUUUUCACCACAACUCUUUCUUCUCCGCCGCAAUUCUUCCUUCUCAUCUUUGGUAUGUGUUUUGCAAUUCAUCUAUGUCGUCGCCGUGACCUAAGCUCUCGCUGCCGUAGAAACGUCAUCUCUUCUCCUUCACUGCAAAGUGAAACAGUGUCUCAACUCAUUUUCCUCGUCGUGAUUCAUCGUCGUUGUGACCAUCCCGCCUCUCUGAUGCGCUCUGAAACUGGCAGGAGAAGCUUAAGAGGAACUAUGGCUAAUUUGGGCAUUUUUGCAUAUUUGGUUCCUAAACUUAUUUGUUAUUUAUUUUGUAACUCCAAUACUUUUUAAAUGUUUUUUAAAUGUGAAAAUUGGUCCUUAAUUUCAUCCCAAACUUCAGAAACUACAUUUUAACCCCUCGUAUUAGGAAUACGUCUAUGAAAAUACAAUAAAAACAACUAAAAGACACCUAAUUAAACUUUCGAAUUUGCAUUUUUAGCCCAUGUGAUAUGCAAAUAAACAAACAAAUGCAAUAAACGAGACCUAAUAUGAUCAUAACUAUAAGAAGAUACUCAAAAUCAUUAGAAUCAUCUGAUAUCGUAACAUUGUUACUACUACUACAACAAAGGUGAAUCAAUAUUCAUUACUUCUUUUAAGAUAUCGCAACGUGUACACUGUAUUUAACAUGUCCACAUGGACUCCUUUUAUCAAUAUACUAUGUACACAUCACAGUGUACAUUGUCUACCGUGUUCACAUAAUACAACACGUUAAAAACAUGAAACAUCUGCAAUUUAAACUCUAUGUCCCAUGUACAAUGGUUUCACCUUGUCCAUAUGUACACUUUUUGGACUUAUACAUAUUUACUAGUAUUAUUUACAUACCUUGUCCAUUGUUGUUUCCUGUCCAUAUGUCCAUAUACUACAUGUACAUUCACCCGUCUUUUUGGAAAAAUUGCCACGAACAGACUUUGUUUUCUAAGGCAACUGUGUAUACAACACUUCUCAAUUUCGUAAUAUUCAUCACGGGAUCUUGCCGCAAUUAUCCACUCGUUCUUUUAAUUGAACUAAACGCGUACAUCAGUUUCUUCCAUGUACACAUUUUCUUGUCUGCGUUGUUUCCACAUGUACACAUAUUUAAUGUACACUUCCCCUACCAAAAAACCUAUCACAAGUUUAGCGUCAUGUACAGAUGGACACUGUACAUUUGUAUCUUCCAAAUAUGUUGUUCACACGUUGUCCAUAUGGACACUGAACAUGUACAUGUACACAUUUACUAGUAUUACACAACAUCGUUUUUUACUAUCCACAUGUACACAUAUGUAAUGUACAUCCCACCCGUAAAACACAACUACAAGUUUAGCAUCAUGUACAUACGUAUAGGUCUCCAUGUUGUCCAUAUGGACACUUACCAAGUACAUGUACAAAUUUACAAUUAUUACACCAUAGCUAAAAAUUACUCACUAUGUACACAUGUACAAAGGUUUUCGCUUUGUGCAUAUGUACACUAUUUGGCUAUGUCCAAACUUACCAAUAUCAGAACACAGCUGAAUGCA